AACUUUAUGACAUAAUUGAAACGUUUUAGAUAUUUUUUAUAAAGAAUAAUCAGUAAAAAUAAAUUAUUUAUAGUUAUUUGUAUCCAGAAAAAUUUCGUUGCAAUAGAUAUAUUUUUUAUAUUAAAUUCAACAAAUAUUUUAAGAAAUAAAAACGAUUAUACCGUUGCGAUUAGUCGUUAUAAUAAAUGAUAUUGAUUUAUAGGUAUUAAUAACAAGUUAAAUAAUGAAUUUUGACAAAACAAACGUGCACUUUAUACUAUUUACUUUUCGAAAUAAUAUGUGAAAUAAUAAUAUGUUUUAUUUAAAUAUUUUUCAUACAUUUUGUCCAUACAAAUAAACUGAUAAUUUUUGUUCAAAGAUAGUCUAUAAUUAUUAAUGUGUUAACAAAUGUUUGGACCCCUGUGUGUUUUUAAUCUUAUAAAUUCGAAAUGGUUUAAAAUAUUAUUAUUAACGAAAAUAAUGUGCACACAUUAUGUUUGUGUGUUUCUCGUUAUAUUGACUUAAACGUCUAUGAAACCUCACACUGUGUUUAUCAUAUUAGAUAAGGCUGUUUGCCCUAACUAAAAGGCCAAAGAUCAUGUUUGCGCGUUAUCUCGGUACAGCUUAGGUCAUCCGUUAGCGCUCGUCGACCUUUGCGCGCGCAACCGAUAUAUUUAUGUAAGAGCCGACGUACUCAGCGCGCCAGUUCUCCGUCGGACAGAUAGCUGAACGAUCUUGGGCAGCCGGAGUUCACCAUUAUUAUUUCGUUUGUUCUAAUAUUUUUCAUUCGUGUACAGUUUUUAAUUUAAGUUACAUCUGUAUAAUUAUUUGACGGUUAAUAACUUGCUAUUAUUAUUACUAUUAUUACUUAAUAUUUUUUUUUUACAUUUUUACAUGUAGGCAUCCCUCGGCGGACCCUUUAAAUACGGCCACUAUUGCAAGGGACAUCGUCCGAUUCUCAUUUUAGAACUACAGUUCGUCACAGUAGGCUAAAAUCAAAAGGCGGCUGGUGGAAACAUGU
Long non-coding RNA from Aphis gossypii (cotton aphid), 1000 nucleotides. RefSeq lists it as uncharacterized. The record is from RefSeq and is a predicted model, not a curated record. NCBI's taxonomy places the organism in Eukaryota, Metazoa, Arthropoda, Insecta, Hemiptera, Aphididae. The transcript has 2 exons.